Molecule: long non-coding RNA, 404 nt
Filed under: Mytilus galloprovincialis (Mediterranean mussel)
Lineage: Eukaryota; Metazoa; Mollusca; Bivalvia; Mytilida; Mytilidae
Source: RNAcentral
CGAUAAAUUUAUCCACAUUGCACCAAUACGAUCCUUAUAUGUCAGUUAUAUUUUAAAAGACAAAUGUAUCAACUAGCUAAUGAGCAUCAGUUAAUGAUCUUGUAUGCAUUGAUUCAACUUAAAACUAUUGUCUAAUCGGUUGUUAGGUGGAAUUUUCGAAAAAUCAAAAACAUUUAAAAAAAAUCUAAUUAAAUAUUUCGUGGAAGGGCAGACUAGAUUUUUUUUAGUGGUUGAAGACUAUAAACCCUAGUUAUCACACACAAAAAAUUAGAAUUUUUCGAAGAUAUGCAUUUUCAUCAUCCAACUAGUAAGACUGUCGUCAAGUACUUUCAGUAAAAAAAUAGCUAUUCGAACACACCUUCCCUGUUUUUGUGACUCAUUAGAUAGGUAUUUCACUUGACCCA